Prunus persica (peach) is the source of this 89-nucleotide non-coding RNA. The record is from Rfam. Lineage: Eukaryota; Viridiplantae; Streptophyta; Magnoliopsida; Rosales; Rosaceae.
UGCUCUGUGAUUACCUGCCUGAAAUGGGCAAUAUACGCUAUUCCGAUUAUUACAUGACCGGAGAAACUUCUAGAGAAUGUAUGAGAGUU